This 465-nucleotide ribosomal RNA is filed under the name uncultured bacterium. RNAcentral describes it as "partial 16S ribosomal RNA". It matches the Rfam family "Bacterial small subunit ribosomal RNA", at positions 28 to 507 of the family's 1533-position model. The record is from RNAcentral.
GACGAACGCUGGCGGCGUGCUUAACACAUGCAAGUCGAACGGAAAGGCCCCCUUGUGGGGUACUCGAGUGGCGAACGGGUGAGUAACACGUGAGUAACCUACCCUUGACUUUGGGAUAACUUCAGGAAACUGGGGCUAAUACCGCAUAGGAGCUCCUGCUGCAUGGUGGGGGUUGGAAAGUUUCGGCGGUUGGGGAUGGACUCGCGGCUUAUCAGCUUGUUGGUGGGGUAGUGGCUCACCAAGGCUUUGACGGGUAGCCGGCCUGAGAGGGUGACCGGCCACAUUGGGACUGAGAUACGGCCCAGACUCCUACGGGAGGCAGCAGUGGGGAAUAUUGCACAAUGGGCGGAAGCCUGAUGCAGCAACGCCGCGUGCGGGAUGACGGCCUUCGGGUUGUAAACCGCUUUCGCCUGUGACGAAGCGUGAGUGACGGUAAUGGGUAAAGAAGCACCGGCUAACUACGUG